Triticum aestivum (bread wheat) is the source of this 119-nucleotide non-coding RNA. The record is from Rfam. NCBI's taxonomy places the organism in Eukaryota, Viridiplantae, Streptophyta, Magnoliopsida, Poales, Poaceae.
AAAUUACUUCCUCCGUCUGGAAAUACUUGUUGGAGAAAUGGAUGUAUCUAGGCAUAUUUUAGUUCUAGAUACAUCCAUUUUCAUCCAUUUCUUCGAAUUCCGGACGGAGGAAGUACUUU